ACGGAGGGUGCAAGCGUUAUCCGGAUUUACUGGGUUUAAAGGGUGCGUAGGUGGGUUUGUAAGUCAGUGGUGAAAUCUCCGAGCUUAACUCGGAAACUGCCAUUGAUACUAUAGAUCUUGAAUUAUCUGGAGGUAAGCGGAAUAUGUCAUGUAGCGGUGAAAUGCUUAGAUAUGACAUAGAACACCAAUUGCGAAGGCAGCUUACUACGGAUAUAUUGACACUGAGGCACGAAAGCGUGGGGAUCAAACAGGAUUAGAUACCCUGGUAGUCCACGCCCUAAACGAUGGAUACUCGACAUCAGCGAUACACUGUUGGUGUCUGAGCGAAAGCAUUAAGUAUCCCACCUGGGAAGUACGAUCGCAAGAUUG
This 369-nucleotide ribosomal RNA is filed under the name uncultured bacterium. Its description in RNAcentral is "bacterial SSU rRNA". It matches the Rfam family "Bacterial small subunit ribosomal RNA", at positions 525 to 896 of the family's 1533-position model. The record is from RNAcentral.